RNAcentral lists this ribosomal RNA (529 nucleotides) under uncultured Bacillota bacterium. RNAcentral's name for it is "bacterial SSU rRNA". It matches the Rfam family "Bacterial small subunit ribosomal RNA", at positions 355 to 897 of the family's 1533-position model. The record is from RNAcentral. Lineage: Bacteria; Bacillati; Bacillota.
GGGGGAAUAUUGGGCAAUGGGGGAAACCCUGACCCAGCAACGCCGCGUGAAGGAAGAAGGCUUUCGGGUUGUAAACUUCUUUGACGAGGGACGAAAAAAAUGACGGUACCUCGAAAACAAGCCACGGCUAACUACGUGCCAGCAGCCGCGGUAGUACGUAGGUGGCAAGCGUUGUCCGGAUUUACUGGGUGUAAAGGGCGCGUAGGCGGGACUGCAAGUCAGAUGUGAAAUGUGAGGGCUUAACCCUCAAGCUGCAUUUGAAACUGUGGUUCUUGAGUAUCGGAGAGGCAGGCGGAAUUCCAAGUGUAGCGGUGAAAUGCGUAGAUAUUUGGAGGAACACCAGUGGCGAAGGCGGCCUGCUGGAUGACAACUGACGCUGAGGCGCGAAAGCGUGGGGAGGCAAACAGGAUUAGAUACCCUGGUAGUCCACGCUGUAAACGAUGAAUACUAGGUGUGGGGGGACUAACCCCCUCCGUGCCGGAGUUAACACAAUAAGUAUUCCACCUGGGGAGUACGGCCGCAAGGUUAG